GGCACCUUAGCUCAGUUGGUAGAGCGACGGCCUGAAGAGCCGUGCGUCGUUGGUUCGAUUCCAACAGGUGCCACCA
RNAcentral lists this transfer RNA (76 nucleotides) under bacterium. RNAcentral describes it as "tRNA-Phe". It matches the Rfam family "tRNA". Rfam says of the family: Transfer RNA (tRNA) molecules are approximately 80 nucleotides in length. Their secondary structure includes four short double-helical elements and three loops (D, anti-codon, and T loops). Further hydrogen bonds mediate the characteristic L-shaped molecular structure. tRNAs have two regions of fundamental functional importance: the anti-codon, which is responsible for specific mRNA codon recognition, and the 3' end, to which the tRNAs corresponding amino acid is attached (by aminoacyl-tRNA synthetases). tRNAs cope with the degeneracy of the genetic code in two manners: having more than one tRNA (with a specific anti-codon) for a particular amino acid; and 'wobble' base-pairing, i.e. permitting non-standard base-pairing at the 3rd anti-codon position. The record is from RNAcentral. RNAcentral also lists the same sequence under 1 other name.